AAUGAACGCUGGCGGCAGGCCUAACACAUGCAAGUCGAACGGAUCCUUCGGGAUUAGUGGCGGACGGGUGAGUAACGCGUGGGAACAUACCCUUUGGUACGGAAUAGCCUCGGGAAACUGGGAGUAAUACCGUAUGUGGUCGAGAGACGAAAGAUUUAUCGCCAAAGGAUUGGCCCGCGUUGGAUUAGGGAGUUGGUGGGGUAAUGGCCUACCAAGCCGACGAUCCAUAGCUGGUUUGAGAGGAUGAUCAGCCACACUGGGACUGAGACACGGCCCAGACUCCUACGGGAGGCAGCAGUGGGGAAUCUUAGACAAUGGGGGAAACCCUGAUCUAGCCAUGCUGCGUGAUCGAUGAAGGUCUUAGGAUCGUAAACCUCUUUUGUUUGGCCACAUGGCCGAAAGAAUAAGCACCUGCUAACCACGUGCCAGCCGCCGCCGUAA
Molecule: ribosomal RNA, 441 nt
Filed under: uncultured bacterium
Lineage: Bacteria
Description: partial 16S ribosomal RNA
Rfam family: Bacterial small subunit ribosomal RNA
Source: RNAcentral